RNAcentral lists this transfer RNA (87 nucleotides) under Pirellulaceae bacterium. Its description in RNAcentral is "tRNA-Ser". It matches the Rfam family "tRNA". From Rfam's summary of the family: Transfer RNA (tRNA) molecules are approximately 80 nucleotides in length. Their secondary structure includes four short double-helical elements and three loops (D, anti-codon, and T loops). Further hydrogen bonds mediate the characteristic L-shaped molecular structure. tRNAs have two regions of fundamental functional importance: the anti-codon, which is responsible for specific mRNA codon recognition, and the 3' end, to which the tRNAs corresponding amino acid is attached (by aminoacyl-tRNA synthetases). tRNAs cope with the degeneracy of the genetic code in two manners: having more than one tRNA (with a specific anti-codon) for a particular amino acid; and 'wobble' base-pairing, i.e. permitting non-standard base-pairing at the 3rd anti-codon position. Lineage: Bacteria; Pseudomonadati; Planctomycetota; Planctomycetia; Pirellulales; Pirellulaceae. The record is from RNAcentral.
GGGUGGGUGGCCGAGCGGUCGAAGGCGGCAGUCUUGAAAACUGCUGUACCCAUACGGGUACCGGGGGUUCGAAUCCCUCCCCACCCG